Molecule: long non-coding RNA, 2443 nt
Filed under: Nicotiana benthamiana
Lineage: Eukaryota; Viridiplantae; Streptophyta; Magnoliopsida; Solanales; Solanaceae
Description: long non-coding RNA (NBEN_LNC011400)
Source: RNAcentral
UCACCCAUAUCUAAUGCCUCUUCAAUUCUUUGCUUUUGAAAUUCUAAAAAUUCAUACAUACGCUAAAAAGAAAAUCCCAAGACAUUCAAACUAUUUGAGACAAAAACUACUAGUUCUCCUGCUUGAACACAUUUUCUUGAAACCGCAACAAGAGUUAACUGAAGUUGAUGAGCAAAACAAUAAAUAGAAUGAGUCGAUCUACUUUCAAGGUUAAUCAACAUUUUAAUGCCAUUAAGUUCACCUAGCAUAUUGCUUGCUCCAUCAUAGUAUUGGACACGAACAUAUGAUAGACAUAAGAAAUGUUUAGCAAGUAAAUCAACAAUUGUGUUUUUUAAGGAUGAAGCGCAAGUAUCUUUGACAUGAACAAUAUUAAUAAAUCGCUCCACCACAAACCCUAAUACUAUCAACAUAUUGUAAGACAAUGGCCAUUUUCUCCUUUAGUGACACUUCAAAAGAUUCAUGAACUAAUAAGGCAAAGCAGUCAUCAUUUAAUUAUUUAAUGAUAUCUUUGAUUGUUUCCAUCUUACAUGCAAUCACGAUGUCUUUUUGAAUCAUUGGAGAAGUCAUUUGAUUAUUUUGAAGAGCGUAUUCCAACACAUAAUCAUGAAUUUAAUCACAUUCCUUUGAUACCAUGAGAGAAUUUCAAGAAAAUCACCCCUAUUAAAUGAUGUUUUAGAUUCAUUUUGACCGCGAAAUGCAAAUCCUUAUUUCUAAAGAAGUCUCACUACAUUAAUCGAAGCAGUUAAGCGAAUCUUAUAUUCAUGCCUUAACUUGAUUAGAAUGCCUCCCAAAUGCAGUUAUAAUGGAUUGUUGUUGUUGUUGUAAUAGAUAUAUAUAUUUUCUUUUUGCAUGAUUAUGAUUACUAUUUGGCCCAGCAACAUGCUUAUCAAAGCUCUUCUUUUUGUUCCAACUCUUAAACUCUAUGAUAAAAAAUAUAUCAUCUCCACAUUGAUGAAUAUUAUCGUUUUUAAAUAAAUAACAACUCAAACAAUAUGCUACAUUUUUACUUGUACUAUACUUGAACCACUCAUGAUAAUCAUCAAACCGUCUAGGAUUGAAAUGACACAUCACUCCAUAAAAAAUCGUUUGAGGAAAGUUAUGUUCUUAAGGUUGACAAGCACCUCUCUGAAUAUAUUGUCUUCUAAUCUCAUCGCAAAGGUUUGGAUGGUAGUCCAAGAUUUGAGUUCUUUCGGCCGGAUCAGAGUUUAAAGUUUGAAGAUUAAUGGUUGUCUUUAAGAAGAACGCAAUGGUACUUCUGAUUGGUUACCAUUUUCGUUCAAGUUAGACUGAUUAUUAAUGGCCAAAUUUGAUUUGGUACUACAUCUUCUUCCAACUCAGAUUGAUUAUGAGGAGCGUCCAAUCUUGAUUUUGGUACUUUGGCAAAAACUGCUUCAUUAAUUUUUGAUUCUGAGUUAUAAAAUAAAUUUAAUUAAAAAAUUACAAAUAAUAUUUUCUAUAAAAUAUUAUAAUACACAAUUAUAACAAGUGAAACCCAAAAGAUAUAUUCUGUAGUGGAGAAAGAUGGAGAGAAUAUGCAAUGAAAUUCUCUUCCAUCUAAAAUUAAACUUGAAGAAAGUUUGAGCACAAAUUGAUUUGAGAUGGAACUGGUAUACUCUAUGCAAGGAAUUGGAUAGAAAAAGACAUUUUUAACUAUUACACUAGUCUCAUUGCAGAAACCUCUAAGUAGCUGGAUUAAAGUUAAUACAGAUGGGAGUAGUAGUUUAAGAAAUAACAGGUAUAGGAGGCAUUGUAAAGGGAUAAAAAUAGAGACUUAAUUAUGGAUUUUUCUAAAAAGCAUUAUUUCUGUACUAACUAACAAUCAAGCAGAGAUGCAGACUGUAUUCUGUAUAUUGAUAUCUCGAGCAGAGCUCGAAAAAUGAGAACAAAAAAUGCACGGAAAUUGAACAAAAGCCAUAAAUCACAUCUUUUAUGUAUGAAACAAGAGCCCCCGCAAUAAACACGUCUGGUCCAUCCAAAAACAAACUUUGCCAAGCCAUAAACCAGUUUAAAAAACACGAAACCAAUCUAUUAAUCAGAAAAAUAUGCACAGAAACCAGAAAUUGAACCCCGACCAUAAACCAGUCCGAAAAAACAUAGUAAAUUAAACCCCAGCCAUAAACCAGUCCAAAAAACAUAGUAAAGAAACGUACCCUGGCUGCCAUGAUAGCCAAAAAUAGACCAGUGAUUUGCAAUUGCAAAUAGAUCAACGGCGGCGGCACGACGACAACUAGGGACUUGAGCAAUUUUGAGAACGGGAGCAAAGAGACCAGUGAUACGCUAGACAUUCCCUUCUGAGUUUUAACUUUUGAAGUAGGGAUUUCUUUAAUCCCAAUUGCCCUCAAAAAUUCCCUUGAACCGAUGUCGUUUGAAAUUUGUUUAAAAAUAAAAUAAAAAAACUCACAUGUAAAAUAAAAAUUAUACUGCUAUUGAAAAUGGACACGGG